UGGGGAAUUUUGGACAAUGGGCGAAAGCCUGAUCCAGCAAUGCCGCGUGUGUGAAGAAGGCCUUCGGGUUGUAAAGCACUUUUGUCCGGAAAGAAAUCCUUGGCUCUAAUACAGUCGGGGGAUGACGGUACCGGGAGAAUAAGCACCGGCUAACUACGUGCCAGCAGCCGCGGUAAUACGUAGGGUGCAAGCGUUAAUCGGAAUUACUGGGCGUAAAGCGUGCGCAGGCGGUUUGCUAAGACCGAUGUGAAAUCCCCGGGCUCAACCUGGGAACUGCAUUGGUGACUGGCAGGCUAGAGUAUGGCAGAGGGGGGUAGAAUUCCACGUGUAGCAGUGAAAUGCGUAGAGAUGUGGAGGAAUACCGAUGGCGAAGGCAGCCCCCUGGGCCAAUACUGACGCUCAUGCACGAAAGCGUGGGGAGCAAAACAGGAUUAGAUACCCUGGUAGUCCACGCCCUAAAACGAUGUCAACUAGUUGUUGGGGAUUCAUUUCCUUAGUAACGUAGCUAACGCGUGAAGUUGACCGCCUGGGGAGUACGGUCGCAAGAUUAAAACUCAAAGGAAUUGACGGGGUCAUAGCUGUUUCCU
RNAcentral lists this ribosomal RNA (587 nucleotides) under uncultured bacterium. RNAcentral describes it as "partial 16S ribosomal RNA". It matches the Rfam family "Bacterial small subunit ribosomal RNA", at positions 355 to 1375 of the family's 1533-position model. The record is from RNAcentral.